UACGUAGGGAGCGAGCGUUGUCCGGAAUUACUGGGUGUAAAGGGUGCGUAGGCGGAUACGCAAGUCAGUAGUGAAAACCAUGGGCUUAACCCAUGACGUGCUAUUGAAACUGUGUAUCUUGAGUGAAGUAGAGGCAGGCGGAAUUCCCGGUGUAGCGGUGAAAUGCGUAGAGAUCGGGAGGAACACCAGUGGCGAAGGCGGCCUGCUGGGCUUUAACUGACGCUGAGGCACGAAAGUGUGGGUAGCAAACAGG
Molecule: ribosomal RNA, 253 nt
Filed under: uncultured Ruminococcus sp.
Lineage: Bacteria; Bacillati; Bacillota; Clostridia; Eubacteriales; Oscillospiraceae
Description: partial 16S ribosomal RNA
Rfam family: Bacterial small subunit ribosomal RNA
Source: RNAcentral